UACAGAGGGUGCGAGCGUUGUUCGGAAUUAUUGGGCGUAAAGGGCGCGUAGGCGGUGAGGUAAGUCACCUGUGAAAUCUCCUGGCUCAACUGGGAGCUUGCAGGCGAAACUGCCGUGCUGGAGUGUGGGAGAGGUGCGUGGAAUUCCUGGUGUAGCGGUGAAAUGCGUAGAUAUCAGGAGGAACACCUGUGGCGAAAGCGGCGCACUGGACCACAACUGACGCUGAGGCGCGAAAGCUAGGGGAGCAAACAGG
RNAcentral lists this ribosomal RNA (253 nucleotides) under uncultured bacterium. RNAcentral's name for it is "partial 16S ribosomal RNA". It matches the Rfam family "Bacterial small subunit ribosomal RNA", at positions 524 to 776 of the family's 1533-position model. The record is from RNAcentral.